UGAAUGGAGAAAUAUUGUAGAAAAAAACUGGUAGGAUCCCAAUAUUAGUGCCUGAUUUUCGUAGGCCACCUGGAAGACCAAAGACUUACAAAAGAAACAAGGAUCCUUAUGAGUCUCCAACCUAAAAAGCGAAGUCAAAAAGACAUGGGAGAUCGGUUCAUUGUUCACAUUGUGGUCCAGUUGGCCAUAACAAAACUAAAUGCAAAAAUGAACCCAAGGUUGAAAAACCAAAGAACAAAAGAGGUCGUCCUCGUAAGAACCCUCAAGAGGUAAGUUUUAGAUCUCACAUUGUCACUAUUCAAAACUCUUAUAUUAACCACUUCCAUUCUUAUUUUUCAAGUACCAGUUCGUAGGCAACCCAGAUCAGCCAAAAGUACAGCUCCCACAACAUCUCUUAAUAACUCUUCAAAGCCAGUUGCCAAGAAAACUACAAGGAAACAAAGACAACUUUUAAAAAUAGCACAAAGCCACCUUCCAAAAAGAGAAAGAUCACUACAAGAAUACAGGCCAAAAACCUACGGCAAAUAUCGUCGUUAAAGCGUAGGAAACAGCCCUUUCUUACUCAAUACUUACCAAAAUAAGUUAUAGGAAAUCGGCCGUCGAAAAUUUUAAUUGGUAGGAAAGUCGUAGGAAAUUCCGUAGGAAAUUUACUACGGACAGUUUGGUAGGACUUUUGUCAGAAAUUUUUGACCAAAUUCCUACUAAUAUCCUGCGAUUAGUUUUUCCUACGAUAUUUUACUUUCUUAUUUCCUACAGUUUCUAUUGUUUUUCUACAAAAUAUUUCCUACGAUUUAUUUACGAUAAUUAUAAAAAAGUAAUUAAAUUAAUUUCAAAAAUAAAUUAAUUUCGAAAAUUAAAUUUGAAAUUAACAAAUUAAUAUUAAUUAUAAAUUUGAAUUGUAUUAUAUAUAAACCAAUUUUUUUCUUACAACAAAAUCAAAACAAUUAGUUUAUUUAAAUACAACACUAUAAUAAAUUAAACAUUAUAAGAAAAUUAAAUCAACAAUUAAACCAAACAAUUAAACUAAAUAAUUAAACCAAAGAAAAAUUAAAAAAACAAAAAAACCUAAACCCUACACAAUGGAGAGACACAGCCGCUUAUGGAUUCAUGGCCGCAAAAGGUUACAAUCAACCCAGACGCCGCCGCUCAUGGAUUCGUGGCUGCAAAAGACACCGCCGUUCAUGGAUUCAUGACCAUUGCCUCAAGCUUUUCGACCAAUCUCAGAGGCGAAGUAGAACUUGGACGAAAUCUCCAGAUCUAUCACCACCAGUCUCACCGGACAUUAUCCUUCAAAUCUCAACAAGGAAAAACCACCAUGACAGCACCGCAAAAGGAGCACCACCACCGGAUCUCGUCCUCACACAGCAGCAUUUGUUUCCACCAAAAUAACAAAAGCUUAGUUUUGUGAUUUUUCUUAAAAAAUUAGAUGAAGAAGAAUGAAGUUUGGGGAAAAAGAAGAGAAAAAACUGAAGAGAUGAAAAAAAGAGGCGGCCA
RNAcentral lists this long non-coding RNA (1494 nucleotides) under Eutrema salsugineum. Its description in RNAcentral is "long non-coding RNA (ESAL_LNC001609)". The record is from RNAcentral. Lineage: Eukaryota; Viridiplantae; Streptophyta; Magnoliopsida; Brassicales; Brassicaceae.